AGAAUCAACGCUGGCGGCGUGCCUAACACAUGCAAGUCGAACGAGAAAGUGGAGCAAUCCAUGAGUACAGUGGCGACCGGGUGAGUAACACGUGACCAAUCUACCUUCGAGUGGGGGAUAAACUCCGGGAAACCGGGGCUAAUACCGCAUAACAUCUUUGGAAUGCAAAUUCCGUUGAUCAAAGGAGCAAUUCGCUUGAAGAGGAGGUCGCGGCUGAUUAGUUAGUUGGCGGGGUAAUGGCCCACCAAGACGAAGAUCGGUA
This 262-nucleotide ribosomal RNA is filed under the name uncultured bacterium. RNAcentral describes it as "partial small subunit ribosomal RNA". It matches the Rfam family "Bacterial small subunit ribosomal RNA", at positions 26 to 285 of the family's 1533-position model. The record is from RNAcentral.